RNAcentral lists this unclassified non-coding RNA (345 nucleotides) under soil metagenome. RNAcentral describes it as "partial contains 5.8S ribosomal RNA, internal transcribed spacer 2, and large subunit ribosomal RNA". The stretch from base 1 to 120 matches the Rfam family "5.8S ribosomal RNA", at positions 35 to 154 of the family's 154-position model. The record is from RNAcentral.
GAUGAAGAACGCAGUGAAAUGCGAUACGUAAUGUGAAUUGCAGAAUUCAGUGAAUCAUCGAGUCUUUGAACGCACAUUGCGCCCCCUGGUAUUCCGGGGGGCAUGCCUGUCCGAGCGUCAUUGCUGCCCUCAAGCACGGCUUGUGUGUUGGGCCUCCUUCCUCCUCCCGGGGGACGGGCCCGAAAGGCAGCGGCGGCACCGCGUCCGGUCCUCGAGCGUAUGGGGCUUCGUCACCCGCUCUUGUAGGCCCGGCCGGCGCUUGCCGACACAUCAAUCUUUUUUCCAGGUUGACCUCGGAUCAGGUAGGGAUACCCGCUGAACUUAAGCAUAUCAAUAAGCGGAGGA